This 730-nucleotide ribosomal RNA is filed under the name Cladosporium sp. RNAcentral's name for it is "eukaryotic LSU rRNA". It matches the Rfam family "Eukaryotic large subunit ribosomal RNA", at positions 111 to 867 of the family's 3401-position model. The record is from RNAcentral. Lineage: Eukaryota; Fungi; Ascomycota; Dothideomycetes; Cladosporiales; Cladosporiaceae.
AAAUUUGAAAUCUGGCGUCUUCGACGUCCGAGUUGUAAUUUGUAGAGGAUGCUUCUGAGUAACCACCGACCUAAGUUCCUUGGAACAGGACGUCAUAGAGGGUGAGAAUCCCGUAUGCGGUCGGAAAGGUGCUCUAUACGUAGCUCCUUCGACGAGUCGAGUUGUUUGGGAAUGCAGCUCUAAAUGGGAGGUAAAUUUCUUCUAAAGCUAAAUAUUGGCCAGAGACCGAUAGCGCACAAGUAGAGUGAUCGAAAGAUGAAAAGCACUUUGGAAAGAGAGUUAAAAAGCACGUGAAAUUGUUAAAAGGGAAGGGAUUGCAACCAGACUUGCUCGCGGUGUUCCGCCGGUCUUCUGACCGGUCUACUCGCCGCGUUGCAGGCCAGCAUCGUCUGGUGCCGCUGGAUAAGACUUGAGGAAUGUAGCUCCCUCGGGAGUGUUAUAGCCUCUUGUGAUGCAGCGAGCGCCGGGCGAGGUCCGCGCUUCGGCUAGGAUGCUGGCGUAAUGGUCGUAAUCCGCCCGUCUUGAAACACGGACCAAGGAGUCUAACAUCUAUGCGAGUGUUCGGGUGUCAAACCCCUACGCGUAAUGAAAGUGAACGGAGGUGAGAACCGCAAGGUGCAUCAUCGACCGAUCCUGAUGUCUUCGGAUGGAUUUGAGUAAGAGCAUAGCUGUUGGGACCCGAAAGAUGGUGAACUAUGCCUGAAUAGGGUGAAGCCAGAGGAAACUCUGG